AUCCAUCUGAUGAGUCCUAAAUAAGAUGAAGUGCACGUCCUGGAU
This 45-nucleotide non-coding RNA is filed under the name Schistosoma mattheei. Lineage: Eukaryota; Metazoa; Platyhelminthes; Trematoda; Strigeidida; Schistosomatidae. The record is from RNAcentral.